RNAcentral lists this unclassified non-coding RNA (345 nucleotides) under soil metagenome. RNAcentral's name for it is "partial contains 5.8S ribosomal RNA, internal transcribed spacer 2, and large subunit ribosomal RNA". The stretch from base 1 to 119 matches the Rfam family "5.8S ribosomal RNA", at positions 35 to 154 of the family's 154-position model. The record is from RNAcentral.
GAUGAAGAACGUAGCGAAAUGCGAUACGUAAUGUGAAUUGCAAAUUCAGUGAAUCAUCGAGUCUUUGAACGCACAUUGCGCCCCCUGGUAUUCCGGGGGGCAUGCCUGUCCGAGCGUCAUUGCUGCCCUCAAGCACGGCUUGUGUGUUGGGCCCCGUCCUCCGAUCCCGGGGGCCGGGCCCGAAAGGCAGCGGCGGCACCGCGUCCGGUCCUCGAGCGUAUGGGGCUUUGUCACCCGCUCUGUAGGCCCGGCCGGCGCUUGCCGAUCAACCCAAAUUUUUAUCCAGGUUGACCUCGGAUCAGGUAGGGAUGCCCGCUGAACUUAAGCAUAUCAAUAAGCGGAGGA